GGGUAGUACAGAGGGUUGCCAAGCCGUAAGGCGGAGCUAAUCCCUUAAAGCUACUCUCAGUUCGGAUUGUAGGCUGAAACUCGCCUACAUGAAGCUGGAGUUACUAGUAAUCGCAGAUCAGAAUGCUGCGGGGAAUGCGUUCCCGGGUCUUGUACACACCGCCCGUCACACCACGGGAGUUGGAGACGCCCGAAGCCGAUUAUCUAACCUUUUGGAAGAAGUCGUCGAAGGUGGAAUCAAUAACUGGGGUGAAGUCGUAACAAGGUAGCCGUAUCGGAAGGUGCGGCUGGAUCACCUCCUUUCUAAGGAGA
RNAcentral lists this ribosomal RNA (311 nucleotides) under Clostridioides difficile. RNAcentral's name for it is "partial 16S ribosomal RNA". It matches the Rfam family "Bacterial small subunit ribosomal RNA", at positions 1232 to 1533 of the family's 1533-position model. Lineage: Bacteria; Bacillati; Bacillota; Clostridia; Peptostreptococcales; Peptostreptococcaceae. The record is from RNAcentral.